GCCCACAAUGACGAACACACCCUUCAGAGAGGAGGAUCUGUGUCGCACCGUCGUGCCCGAUCCGACUGCUUGCAGAACCGCCUGCCAAUCACACAACACUUUGGGAGGGUGAGCACAAUACCAUAUCUAAUCUUAGGUAUUUUAAAAAUUUGUUUCCAAUGUCUUUAUCAUUUUCAAGGAUAACAUAAGAUGGUAUUGCCAUGCUUCUUUUCCAUAAUCAAAACACAAGAAGAUAAAGUCUCAUCCAAAAACUGAUUAAAGAGAUUUAAAGAAAAGAUUACAUAAAUAAAUGAAAAGUAAAUAAAUAUAUGAAAAAAUGUAAACUAUGAUAAUCAUAAUAAUACAAUAAUAAUAAAAAAACAUAGUGAUAACAAUACUAACAAUAAUACUAUUACUUGUAUCAUGUCACCUUAGUAUCAUGUAGCCAUAGUUUCACUGUUAAAACUGUCAAAAUAAUAGGAUAUAUUUUCUUGCAGUGAUAAGUCUAUAUACCAGGAAGCAUUGUUGUGGCAGUUUUAGUUUCCUUACAUCUUUAGAUAUCCCCCAAAUAAUUACAAUUGCAUCUGGAUUUAUCUGAAAUGUAAUAUCUUUGACAAAAAAAGAGAAGAUAUCAAUCCAUUAUCCUUGUAUUUUGUGGCAAAGAGCGUUGCUGUGAAGUAAAUAUUUGAUACAAUUGGAACAGAUACCAUCCACAUGCAUCGUCCUCAUUACCUAAUCUUCUUAUUCUACUGUCCUGCACUGCUUCUUUGUGCUAUUUUGUGCCAUUUCUUUGCUCCACUUUAUUGUGAUUUACCCCAACAUCGGUCACUUCUGUUGCGUUGCUGUCUCUUUGCUUUGUUACUCUAUGUUGCCUCAUGUCAGUCGCGUCCUCGUCGGCCUGUACACCAACACAGGGCUCCCGGAGACGAAGAGGACAUGCAGGACAAUGGGGACACAUGGGAUGGGUGAGAGUCAGAGAGAAACUGAGAGAUGGAGAAAUGUGGGGAAACCCUAGGAGAAAUAUUUUCAAAAGCAUUUUCUUGUUUGUGCCAUUCUUAUUUCUUAUCUCUGUGCAACAGGGCUGUGUCUGGGGCUGUGAUCGAGCCAGACACACAGCUCCAGAAGGAUAAAGACGAAGAGGAAGAUUCACUGCUGUGUGACCCGGAGGAGAUGGAUCUGCUGGGGGAGAUCUUUGACACGCUCAGCUCCCGGAGCUCCCACGAACGCGGCCUGCUGUAUGGCACGCGCAGCCUGGAUCUGUUUGGACCGGACAGCCAUGACUAUAUCAGGAAGGGCAGUUUUCCAGCCAACCCCAGCCAGGAGAGCCUGUCUCUGUCCUUGAGUGGCAGUGGCAGCAUACACAGCUGGAAUCUGGAGACCACGGAGGAGCUGUCAGACCUGACGGAAGACUCUGAUUGCCUUUGCUUGGACACCAGCGUACCAGAAGAGGAGGGGAAAGAGAGUCUGCUGGCAGCGUGUGAAAUGGGGCAGCAAGAAAGCAGACUACAGGAAGUAGUGAAGGUAGCAAUAAACGGGAACCGAAAAGAAGAAACAGACAGCGGAAAUAACUUUAAGGAAGUGAAGUUAGAGGAAGAGACGGAGAUUCAGGAAAAGACAGUGAGUUUAGGAGAGGUCCCUGUGAAAGAAAUGGCUGAGAAGCGAGAGGAUGGUGGGUUGAAAGAAAAGAGGGAAGAUGUGCAAAAUCAGAGUGAGGAGGUAGCUGAGGGACAAGAGAUGGAUAAAGGAACAAAUGAAAUGCAGAAAGGUGAAGCAAGAGAAGAAGAGGGACAAGAGAAGGAGAAAGGUGAAGCAAGAGAAGAAGAGGGACAAGAGAAGGAGAAAGGUGAGGAAGUGACCUUAAACAAACUUAUAAAACUGAAUCCCCAUCAUCCCAACGGCGAGGAGGAGCAGCAGGGACUGGAGGACAAUCUGGAACCCGCAUCUUCUCCUGGGCCUCGGAGUCUCAGUGUUGACCCUAAACCUACAGCAGGUCAUGAAAAAAGAAGUGAAGAAGCAGUAAAGACAGAGGAGCUGGAGAUGAGACAGACCGCCUCCUCGCCUGAAGUGCUAUCUGCUGUAACACGCUUCCAGCUAAAGUGCAGCAACAAGCAACCGGCUGAACCUGGGAGACCUUGCAACACACUUUGGAGCAAGGAGAAUGCACAAACUCACCUGCCAUGUGACUCGAAUAUAUCAGAGGGAAAAAAACGUUCAGAGGAUGAACGAGAGGAGGAAGACCCGCCUCUGAUCAAAGUGUCUGAACUGAAGAAGAAAUUUGAAGCUUAA
Long non-coding RNA from Cottoperca gobio, 2265 nucleotides. The record is from Ensembl. NCBI's taxonomy places the organism in Eukaryota, Metazoa, Chordata, Actinopteri, Perciformes, Bovichtidae.